Anopheles arabiensis is the source of this 779-nucleotide long non-coding RNA. RefSeq lists it as uncharacterized. The record is from RefSeq and is a predicted model, not a curated record. NCBI's taxonomy places the organism in Eukaryota, Metazoa, Arthropoda, Insecta, Diptera, Culicidae. The transcript has 2 exons.
ACUGCGGAAUUGGAGGUGAAGAAAUCAUCGCGUGGGCACACACAUUAUAGCGGGCAUGGGUUGUUUGUUUUUUCCCCUCUUAAAGUUUAAACUGCAUAAACUACCGAAACUACACUACAGAAACGGGGCAGUGGUUUUCACGGCGAUAAACAGUCCGUAUGUAUAAGAAAGGUGCUUCCCGCAUUCUCCCACGCCCCAUACUUACGCCGGUUGGGUCGAUGGUAGUGCCAGCUGCUCCGAACGACGUCCGCCCCCGUGACCGCCCAGCACGGUGCGCGCCUUGGCCUGGAACUCGCGAUCGAAGUCUUCCGCCUCCUCGUCGUCCAGGUUGAUAAAGUCCUGCCGUUCCUCCUGCACCCCGGUGGAGAUGUUCUGCUCCCGCUCGAUGAUGUGGGCCCGCUCGCCGAUGUGAUGCCCGAUGGCCAUUUUUUUCGUGCCGGUGCGGCUAUCCUGUACGGUUUUGCGCGUCUCCUUGAUGCCGCCCGGGCCGGUGCGCGUGCUCGACGUGGCCUGGUACACCUGCGGACCGUUCGGGCCGGACGUCAUCGAGAUGACGCUGCUGCUGCAGUACGACGGACCGUCGGCCGGGCCGCCCACACUCAGCAGUCGGUUCAUGGUCGGCGGCAUGAACGGCAUCAUCGCGUUGUGGCGCAUCCCGAACGCAGGCCCGGCGGCGAUGCUUUCCAACCCGCCGCCAACCCCACCCAUCAUACCGAACGGGUCGGAAAACAGCGAAUUCAGCAUGUUGCUCAUGUGGCGCAUCGAACGCAUAUGAUGGC